GGGGGGGGGGCAGGCCUACACAUGCAAGUCGAGCGGCAGCGGGAAAGUAGCUUGCUACUUUUGCCGGCGAGCGGCGGACGGGUGAGUAAUGCCUGGGAAAUUGCCCAGUCGAGGGGGAUAACAGUUGGAAACGACUGCUAAUACCGCAUACGCCCUACGGGGGAAAGCAGGGGACCUUCGGGCCUUGCGCGAUUGGAUAUGCCCAGGUGGGAUUAGCUAGUUGGUGAGGUAAUGGCUCACCAAGGCGACGAUCCCUAGCUGGUCUGAGAGGAUGAUCAGCCACACUGGAACUGAGACACGGUCCAGACUCCUACGGGAGGCAGCAGUGGGGAAUAUUGCACAAUGGGGGAAACCCUGAUGCAGCCAUGCCGCGUGUGUGAAGAAGGCCUUCGGGUUGUAAAGCACUUUCAGCGAGGAGGAAAGGUCAGUAUCUCAUAUCUGCUGGCUGCGACGUUACU
Molecule: ribosomal RNA, 458 nt
Filed under: Aeromonadales bacterium
Lineage: Bacteria; Pseudomonadati; Pseudomonadota; Gammaproteobacteria; Aeromonadales
Description: bacterial SSU rRNA
Rfam family: Bacterial small subunit ribosomal RNA
Source: RNAcentral